AUCAGGUUGACUGAACGCGUUUCAAAAGAAAGUGAUCGCAAAAAGUUGAUCUCGCGAUAUUUUGCACUGAAUGGAAAUCGGCUUUAGUCACAGAAUAGAUACGAGACCAGAAGGGACACUUCUAUGUGUUUUGGCUUGGGAAAAACGUCCGAAUUUUUUUACGUGCUAUUAACUCAUCCUGGAGUGCACACGGCACUUUGUACCUAUGUUUGUCCUAUGAAAAACUUCUGUGUGCACUCCAGGAUCGCGCCAUAUGAUGGCCACGUAUUUUCACGUCAGCACUCGUAAAAUUUCGGACAAAAUAUUGUCUGAGUGAGUGACUCUUCUGGUCCAGUAUCUAUUCUGUGCUUUAGUUGUCUUAUCACGAUGAGAUACAUUUCACUACACUUUACAUGGCGGAUCUCGGAACACCGGUGGAGGCACUAGGCGAAGGAGCGCAGGCGUAAAAGGGUGAAGGAAAGGCAACUAAAGCCUCUGCGGAGGAG
This is a non-coding RNA of Paramuricea clavata, 485 nucleotides long. The record is from the annotation of a GenBank genome assembly. NCBI's taxonomy places the organism in Eukaryota, Metazoa, Cnidaria, Anthozoa, Malacalcyonacea, Plexauridae.